Xenopus tropicalis (tropical clawed frog) is the source of this 662-nucleotide long non-coding RNA. RefSeq lists it as uncharacterized. The record is from RefSeq and is a predicted model, not a curated record. The transcript has 2 exons. NCBI's taxonomy places the organism in Eukaryota, Metazoa, Chordata, Amphibia, Anura, Pipidae.
CUCCUCCUUGAAUCCCCCCCCCCCCCAACCACAACAGGGCAAGAGCAAGUGCCCGAGGUCCCCAUAAUGAUGUUUAAGAUCUCAGUAACUGCUGAUUCUGUGUCUUUUUGAUAACACUGCAGGUCUUUCUGCCAGGCUGCUGCCUAAUACAUGUUACGUUGUAUCUUUCUGAGCCUCAGCCUGGUCACAUGAUGCUCUGUGUGUGAGAGUGAGACUGUGUUAGAAAAUGGCUCUGCUUUAGUUUGGGAGAUCUGAAAUCUGCCUGUGUUGGCGUGUUUGAUUGUGUCUGUGCCAGAGAAACUGCUUGUGAUUUGUGUAUUUGUAUGAUAAAGAGACUGAGGAUGAAUCUGUUUGUGUGUGCCUUAUUGUUCAGUGGGGGGUGGGUAGGUACCUGUGGCUGCUGCACCAAGGAAACCCACCAAAACCCAGUCUGACUCCUCUGUAUUUAUUCUGUCAGGAGAAGGGUUCCAGCAUACCCUGUGUUCCCAAGAUGCCUGGCAUGUCUACUGAACGGUACCCUGAGUCACCUGUGAGAGUUGUACAAAUUGAACAUUAAACUUAAUGUCAUAUUGUGCAGUUGAUAGAGUACCAGUACAGCAGGUGCAAUUGAAGCUGACCAGCCCAGUAAAUAUAAACAGAUGAUACUUCAUUCUCUCAAUAUA